Molecule: unclassified non-coding RNA, 276 nt
Filed under: Ascomycota sp.
Lineage: Eukaryota; Fungi; Ascomycota
Description: partial contains small subunit ribosomal RNA, internal transcribed spacer 1, and 5.8S ribosomal RNA
Rfam family: Eukaryotic small subunit ribosomal RNA (bases 1-47)
Source: RNAcentral
AAAGUCGUAACAAGGUCUCCGUUGGUGAACCAGCGGAGGGAUCAUUACAGAGUUGCAAAACUCCCGUAAACCAUUGUGAACGUUACCCGUAAACCGUUGCUUCGGCGGGCGUCCCUCCCCCUCCCCUCACCGGGCGGGGGUUGUGAGCCGCAGCACCGGGCCCCGCUCGCGGUGCGCCCGGGCCGCCGGACGGCACAAACUCUUGAAUUCUCCAGGCCUCUCUGAGUCUUUAUACUUAAUAAGUCAAAACUUUCAACAACGGAUCUCUUGGUUCUG